This 1344-nucleotide ribosomal RNA is filed under the name Nocardiopsis prasina. RNAcentral describes it as "bacterial SSU rRNA". It matches the Rfam family "Bacterial small subunit ribosomal RNA", at positions 85 to 1427 of the family's 1533-position model. The record is from RNAcentral. Lineage: Bacteria; Bacillati; Actinomycetota; Actinomycetes; Streptosporangiales; Nocardiopsidaceae.
GGGUACACGAGCGGCGAACGGGUGAGUAACACGUGAGCAACCUGCCCCUGACUCCGGGAUAAGCGGUGGAAACGCCGUCUAAUACCGGAUACGACCCGCCACCUCAUGGUGGAGGGUGGAAAGUUUUAUCGGUCAGGGAUGGGCUCGCGGCCUAUCAGCUUGUUGGUGGGGUAACGGCCUACCAAGGCGAUUACGGGUAGCCGGCCUGAGAGGGCGACCGGCCACACUGGGACUGAGACACGGCCCAGACUCCUGCGGGAGGCAGCAGUGGGGAAUAUUGCACAAUGGGCGAAAGCCUGAUGCAGCGACGCCGCGUGGGGGAUGACGGCCUUCGGGUUGUAAACCUCUUUUACCACCAACGCAGGCUCCACGUUCUCGUGGGGUUGACGGUAGGUGGGGAAUAAGGACCGGCUAACUACGUGCCAGCAGCCGCGGUAAUACGUAGGGUCCGAGCGUUGUCCGGAAUUAUUGGGCGUAAAGAGCUCGUAGGCGGCAUGUCGCGUCUGCUGUGAAAGACCGGGGCUUAACUCCGGUUCUGCAGUGGAUACGGGCAUGCUAGAGGUAGGUAGGGGAGACUGGAAUUCCUGGUGUAGCGGUGAAAUGCGCAGAUAUCAGGAGGAACACCGGUGGCGAAGGCGGGUCUCUGGGCCUUACCUGACGCUGAGGAGCGAAAGCAUGGGGAGCGAACAGGAUUAGAUACCCUGGUAGUCCAUGCCGUAAACGUUGGGCGCUAGGUGUGGGGACUUUCCACGGUUUCCGCGCCGUAGCUAACGCAUUAAGCGCCCCGCCUGGGGAGUACGGCCGCAAGGCUAAAACUCAAAGGAAUUGACGGGGGCCCGCACAAGCGGCGGAGCAUGUUGCUUAAUUCGACGCAACGCGAAGAACCUUACCAAGGUUUGACAUCACCCGUGGACCUGUAGAGAUACAGGGUCAUUUAGUUGGUGGGUGACAGGUGGUGCAUGGCUGUCGUCAGCUCGUGUCGUGAGAUGUUGGGUUAAGUCCCGCAACGAGCGCAACCCUUGUUCCAUGUUGCCAGCACGUAAUGGUGGGGACUCAUGGGAGACUGCCGGGGUCAACUCGGAGGAAGGUGGGGACGACGUCAAGUCAUCAUGCCCCUUAUGUCUUGGGCUGCAAACAUGCUACAAUGGCCGGUACAAUGGGCGUGCGAUACCGUAAGGUGGAGCGAAUCCCUUAAAGCCGGUCUCAGUUCGGAUUGGGGUCUGCAACUCGACCCCAUGAAGGUGGAGUCGCUAGUAAUCGCGGAUCAGCAACGCCGCGGUGAAUACGUUCCCGGGCCUUGUACACACCGCCCGUCACGUCAUGAAAGUCGGCAACACCCGAAAC